UACGGAGGAUGCAAGCGUUAUCCGGAAUCAUUGGGCGUAAAGCGUCCGCAGGUGGCUAUUCAAGUCUGCUGUCAAAGCAUGGAGCUUAACUCCAUAGAGGCAGUGGAAACUGAAAGGCUAGAGGCCGGUAGGGGUAGUGGGAAUUCCCAGUGUAGCGGUGAAAUGCGUAGAGAUUGGGAAGAACAUCGGUGGCGAAAGCGCACUACUGGGCAGGACCUGACACUGAGGGACGAAAGCUAGGGGAGCAAAAGGG
This 253-nucleotide ribosomal RNA is filed under the name uncultured bacterium. RNAcentral's name for it is "partial 16S ribosomal RNA". It matches the Rfam family "Bacterial small subunit ribosomal RNA", at positions 524 to 776 of the family's 1533-position model. The record is from RNAcentral.